AUAAACAGUGGGCUUGUUUCAACAUAAGCUGUUGUACAAUAAUAUUGCAGCAUUACAGUGCAGUAAAGUAAGUCGUGAUAGCAAUAAUGUAAUUACAAGUCUGGAAACCAACGCAUCCAUGAAGUGUACUACAGGUGUCAUAUCUGUAUACAGGCGUUUAUAAUAAAGGGUGCAAAUAUAAUGCAGUUAAAUAUGACAUACUGUGACAUUGCCGACAGAUAUUACAAAAUAAGUGGGCAUUUUUAUGAAGAUGUGCUUAAUGAACUCAAG
Non-coding RNA from Pelobates cultripes (western spadefoot toad), 270 nucleotides. The record is from the annotation of a GenBank genome assembly. NCBI's taxonomy places the organism in Eukaryota, Metazoa, Chordata, Amphibia, Anura, Pelobatidae.